Long non-coding RNA from Arabidopsis thaliana (thale cress), 218 nucleotides. RefSeq annotates it as other RNA. NCBI's taxonomy places the organism in Eukaryota, Viridiplantae, Streptophyta, Magnoliopsida, Brassicales, Brassicaceae. The transcript has a single exon. The record is from RefSeq.
CGUCGACCACGUUUUUGUUGUUAUGCGUUUUUUGAACAAUAUCAAUAUUUAACGAAAAAAAGAAGCAAAGAAGAAGGAAACUACAAGGAAAGAAGGUUGGCAAGUGCACGUUGUCUGUACCUAUUCGAUAUGACACGUGUUUUAUCAUGGUUGGUUCGUUUUUCUACGCGUGGAGAGAUUCUUGUAUUUCAGUAUCCAGGGCUCUUAUACGCUGCUAC